CCUACGGGAGGCAGCAGUGAGGAAUAUUGGUCAAUGGUCGGGAGACUGAACCAGCCAAGCCGCGUGAGGGAUGAAGGUACAGAGUAUCGUAAACCUCUUUUGUCAGGGAACAAAGGCGGGGACGUGUCCCCGGAUGAGUGUACCUGAAGAAAAAGCAUCGGCUAACUCCGUGCCAGCAGCCGCGGUAAUACGGGGGAUGCGAGCGUUAUCCGGUUUUAUGGGGUUUAAAGGGUGCGCGGGCGGUCUGUUAAGUCAGCGGUCAAAGCCCGGGGCUCAACCCCGGCCCGCCGUUGAAACUGGCAGCCUCGAGUUGGAGAGAGGUAUGCGGAAUGCGCGGUGUAGCGGUGAAAUGCAUAGAUAUCGCGAAGAACUCCGAUUGCGAAGGCAGCAUGCCGGCUCCACACUGACGCUGAGGCACGAAAGCGUGGGUAUCGAACAGGAUUAGAUACCCGAGUAGUC
Molecule: ribosomal RNA, 459 nt
Filed under: uncultured bacterium
Lineage: Bacteria
Description: partial 16S ribosomal RNA
Rfam family: Bacterial small subunit ribosomal RNA
Source: RNAcentral